UGUAAGUACACUGUAGCUGUUCUCAGAUACUCCAGAAGAGGGAGUCAGGUUUCGUUACAGAUGGUUGUGAGCCACCAUGUGGUUGCUGGGAUUUGAACUCGGGACCGUUGAGCUAUCUGGCCCCUGUUCUGGAAUCCUAUUCUGAGCCUAUUCCUGAUCUGUGCUUUCUGAAAUGACGUCAUCACGCGAGCAGACAGCGCGGCUCCAGCUUCACAUCUGUACAGUGGUUUAUUUUCUCCAGCUGUCCAUCCAGUCUGGAGGUCCCUUUCCCUGGAACGCGGGCUCACGAAGGCUGCUCAGUCUUCUCAGAUGCAUGUGGAAGUCUCUCAUCCCAGAUGCCACCCUAACAUCACCACAUAGCACCGCCGGCUUCUCCACCAAAAAUCUUGUGUUUGAAGGUCACUUUUCCCUAUGAUGUCAUAGUAACAGCCUGGAGAGAGGUGUCCCUCCGUGUAUAGCUGACUCACUGGGCUUUCUCCCCUGUGCCUCCCUUAUAUGUUGCCAUCCAUCCAGAUUCUUGGCACAGAAUGUUAGGGACAAGCAGUCCUAAGUACUGCCAUUUUGUUUUCAGAUUCCAUUUAAUCAUAGGGGAAACUAUGGGAACUGGCGACUUCCCAACAGCUGAACAGCCUCUGUUAGAAGACAGUUGUCUGAGUCCAGCCAUCUCAGAGACAACUUGUAAGGAUACAGUUGCUUGAGUCCAGCCAUCACAAGGACAGCUUCUCCAUCUGGCUGGCAGAGUCAACUAAGUUCAUAUUCCCAGGCCUAGGAGCCAACUCCCAUCCUGAUUGCAGGAAGCUCCCUUGCUCAACCCCUUAUGUCAAAAUAUAAUUAGACAGUGCUCCAGCCCACCCUGCCCCUGUCAUGUUAUGCUUCCAUCCUUUAAAUAUGCUGUACAACUUUCCUUCAAGGUCACAGUUCAGCUCCCAAGUCUGGUCUGUGGCCCUAAUGGGUCAGUAGUGGCUUGAUUACACUAAAUUUGUGUCAUCUGUACUGACUCGGUAUUGAGUUAUGUUGGAUCUAAGCGGAUCCCACAACAAUAUGAACAACGGUGGCCAUUAUUUUGUGCAGAGACAAAUCUGUUCCUACCCACAUAAAUUCCUGGCUCUGCUAUGGCAAAGUCCAUUGCUGGUAUCUUGGGAGGUUCAUAUUCUUUCUUUCUCUCUCUCUCUCUCUCUCUCUCUCUCUCUCUCUCUCUCUCUCUCUCUCUCUCUCUCUCUCUCUCCCACUACUCCCUACAAUCCUCCCCCCACCACACUUCUUAAAUUUUAUCUUAUGCCAAGCUGUGGGGCACACCUUUAAUCUCAGCACUUCAGAGACAGAGGCAGGCAGGUCACUAAGUUUGAGUCCAGCCUGGUCUACAGAGCAAGUUCCAGGGUAGUCAGGGCUAUACAAAGAAACCGUGUC
Molecule: long non-coding RNA, 1407 nt
Filed under: Mus musculus (house mouse)
Lineage: Eukaryota; Metazoa; Chordata; Mammalia; Rodentia; Muridae
Description: long non-coding RNA chr11:3455000-3456407
Source: RNAcentral